UACGUAGGCAGCGAGCGUUGUUCGGAGUUACUGGGCGUAAAGCGCGCGCAGGCGGCUAUCCAAGUCAGUGGUGAAAGCCCGGAGCUCAACUCCGGAACUGCCAUUGAAACUGUUUAGCUUGAGGAUGAGAGAGGUGAGUGGAAUUCCCAGUGUAGAGGUGAAAUUCGUAGAUAUUGGGAAGAACACCGGUGGCGAAGGCGGCUCACUGGCUCAUUACUGACGCUCAGGCGCGAUAGCGUGGGGAUCAAACAGG
RNAcentral lists this ribosomal RNA (253 nucleotides) under uncultured bacterium. RNAcentral describes it as "partial 16S ribosomal RNA". It matches the Rfam family "Bacterial small subunit ribosomal RNA", at positions 524 to 776 of the family's 1533-position model. The record is from RNAcentral.